GGGGGUACCGGUACAGAGUCAAUGUGGGGGCUAUAUACAGGGGGUACCGGUACAGAGUCAAUGUGGAGACUAUAUACAGGGGGUACCGGUACAGAGUCAAUGUGGAGACUAUAUACAGGGUAUUACGGUACAGAGUCAAUGUGGAGGCUAUAUACAGGGUGUUACGGUACAGAGUCAAUGUGGAGGCUAUAUACAGGGGGUACCGGUACAGAGUCAAUGUGGAGGCUAUAUACAGGGGAUUACGGUACAGAGUCAAUGUGGAGGCUAUAUACAGGGUGUUACGGUACAGAGUCAAUGUGGAGGCUAUAUACAGGGUGUUACGGUACCGAGUCAAUGUGGAGGCUAUAUACAGGGUGUUACGGUACAGAGUCAAUGUGGAGACUAUAUACAGGGUGUUACGGAGUCAAUGUGGAGGCUAUAUACAGGGUGUUACGGUACCGAGUCAGUGUGGAGGCUAUAUACAGGGUGUUACGGUACCGAGUCAGUGUGGAGGCUAUAUACAGGGGGUACCGGUACAGAGUCAAUGUGGAGGCUAUAUACAGGGGUACUGGUACAGAGUAAAUGAGGAGGCUAUAUACAGGGGGGGUACUGGUACAGAGUCA
Oncorhynchus tshawytscha (Chinook salmon) is the source of this 602-nucleotide long non-coding RNA. The record is from Ensembl. Lineage: Eukaryota; Metazoa; Chordata; Actinopteri; Salmoniformes; Salmonidae.